CCUACGGGUGGCAGCAGUGGGGAAUAUUGGGCAAUGGGCGCAAGCCUGACCCAGCAACGCCGCGUGAAGGAAGAAGGCUUUCGGGUUGUAAACUUCUUUUAAGAGGGAAGAGCAGAAGACGGUACCUCUUGAAUAAGCCACGGCUAACUACGUGCCAGCAGCCGCGGUAAUACGUAGGUGGCAAGCGUUGUCCGGAAUUACUGGGUGUAAAGGGCGUGCAGCCGGGAAGACAAGUCAGAUGUGAAAGCCCGCGGCUCAACCGCGGAACUGCCUUUGAAACUGUUUUUCUGGAGUACCGGAGAGGACAUCGGAAUUCCUGGUGUAGCGGUGAAAUGCGUAGAUAUAAGGAAGAACACCAGUGGCGAAGGCGGAUGACUGGACGGCAACUGACGGUGAGGCGCGAAAGCGUGGGGAGCAAACAGGAUUAGAUACCCCUGUAGUC
RNAcentral lists this ribosomal RNA (442 nucleotides) under uncultured bacterium. Its description in RNAcentral is "partial 16S ribosomal RNA". It matches the Rfam family "Bacterial small subunit ribosomal RNA", at positions 338 to 795 of the family's 1533-position model. The record is from RNAcentral.